This 293-nucleotide ribosomal RNA is filed under the name uncultured eukaryote. RNAcentral describes it as "partial 18S ribosomal RNA". It matches the Rfam family "Eukaryotic small subunit ribosomal RNA", at positions 6 to 299 of the family's 1831-position model. The record is from RNAcentral.
GGUUGAUCCUGCCAGUAGUCAUAUGCUUGUCUCAAAGAUUAAGCCAUGCAUGUCUCAGCAUAAGCUUCUAUACGGCGAAACUGCGAAUGGCUCAUUAAAACAGUUACAGUUUAUUUGAUGGUCAUUCUUUACAUGGAUAACCGUGGUAAUUCUAGAGCUAAUACAUGCGCCCAAACCCGACUUUGCGGAAGGGUUGUGCUUAUUAGUUACAGAACCAACCCAGGCUCGCCUGGUCUUGUGGUGAUUCAUAAUAAUCCAACGAAUCGCAUGGCAUCAGCUGGCGAUGAAUCAUU